UUCAAAGACAGACGUUUUACGUAAACACU
This 29-nucleotide small RNA is filed under the name Bombyx mori (domestic silkworm). RNAcentral's name for it is "ovarian small RNA-36930". The record is from RNAcentral. Lineage: Eukaryota; Metazoa; Arthropoda; Insecta; Lepidoptera; Bombycidae.